This 479-nucleotide ribosomal RNA is filed under the name uncultured bacterium. Its description in RNAcentral is "partial 16S ribosomal RNA". It matches the Rfam family "Bacterial small subunit ribosomal RNA", at positions 28 to 507 of the family's 1533-position model. The record is from RNAcentral.
GAUGAACGCUGGCGGCGUGCCUAAUACAUGCAAGUCGAGCGAACAGACGAGGAGCUUGCUCCUCUGACGUUAGCGGCGGACGGGAGAGUAACACGUGGAUAACCUACCUAUAAGACUGGGAUAACUUCGGGAAACCGGAGCUAAUACCGGAUAAUAUAUUGAACCGCAUGGUUCAAUAGUGAAAGACGGUUUUGCUGUUGCUUAUGGAUGGAUCCGCGGGGCAUUAGCUAGUUGGUAAGGUAACGGCUUACCAAGGCGACGAUGGGUAGGCGACCUGAGAGGGCGACCGGCCACAUGGGGACAGAGAUACGGCACAAAGUCUUAAGGGAGGCAGGAGGGGGGAAUAUUGCACAAUGGACGGAAGUCUGAUGAAGCAACGCUGCGUGUGGGAUGACGGCGUUAGGGUUGUAAACCGCUUUAAAUUGUGACGAAGCUUUUUUGUGACGGUAGCAGUAGAAGAAGCACCGGCUAACUACGUG